CAGCUCUGGUUUCUCCCCACGCGCACAAGUCUUUCGCCUUUUACUACAAAGACUUCCGUGGAGAGGAACAAACAUGAGUUGAAUAUAUUUUGGCAGGCUUUGCUGUAUAUGGCUG
This is a small nuclear RNA of Hippoglossus stenolepis (Pacific halibut), 115 nucleotides long. RefSeq annotates it as U5 spliceosomal RNA. The transcript has a single exon. Lineage: Eukaryota; Metazoa; Chordata; Actinopteri; Pleuronectiformes; Pleuronectidae. The record is from RefSeq and is a predicted model, not a curated record.